RNAcentral lists this long non-coding RNA (1007 nucleotides) under Sus scrofa (pig). RNAcentral's name for it is "lncRNA (ENSSSCG00015010320.1)". Lineage: Eukaryota; Metazoa; Chordata; Mammalia; Artiodactyla; Suidae. The record is from RNAcentral.
GAUGGAGGCACCGCAAUAAACUCAAAUUAUAUGUGAGAAAAAGCGUCACUGUUGUCAUCACCCAAAGAAUCAGGAUGUUGUUCAACUUCUUUGUGUUUGUUUUAUGGUUUAGCAUUGUUUUUAUUUGGAUUUACACGGGGUGAUGAGGCAGGUACCGCCCCUCUUACCAUUGCUUAAGAUUUUUUUUUUUUUUUCUUUUCAUAGCCACACCAGCGGCAUAUGGAAAUUCCCGGGCUAGGGGUCAAAUCAGAGCUGUAGCUGCCAGCCUACACGAAAGCCACAGCAAUGCCAGAUCUGAGCUGCCUCUGCGACCUACACCACAGCUCACGGCAACGCUGGAUCCUUAACCCACUGAGCGAGGUCAGGGAUCAAACCCGCAGCCCUGGAGUCUCUACGUUUGGACCCGGCCCUCAGGGGCAUGAAGGGUAGGGAGCAGACCCCUGCACAGCUCCCCUCACAUUCCUCUGGUGGCGAGAGUCACAUCUCCCAGGGCAGUUUCGAAAGCUAACUUGUUAGCAGCCCGGGAGGUCUGAUCGCUGGCGUUCCAGAAGCCAAGACGUAGCUAAUAGCAAAAGGGUGAUCGUCAAAUAAGUCAGACAGGGACAAUAACUGCCAGUGUUUAUUGGGCAUUUACUCUGUGCCAGUGACCGCUUUAUAUAUGAUAACUCAUUUGAUUAUCACAAUAAACCCAGGAGUUGAGAACUAUCGCUAUCACCUGCAUUUUGUAGACUGUGACACUGAGGGGCAGAGAGGUUCAAUAUAUUGCCGGAUGUCACCCUGCCAUGGGGUGACAGAAGCAGGAUUUGAACCUGGGCAGCAAGACUCCAUGCAAUGAGCUCUUACGCCCUCUCUCUCUGAUUCCUGGUGGGCUUGUACACAGCUCUUCUUUCAGGAGCCCAGCUCCAGCCCGACUCCGGGCCAGAGUUCUGGGGCCAUAAGGAGCCCAGGCAACGCCUCUCCGGGCUGUCCCGAGGACUUGGCCUAGCCUGGGGCUGAGAGCUGGAUUG